ACGCUGGCGGCGUGCCUAAUACAUGCAAGUCGAACGGUCUUUCUAUGGAAGCUUGCUUCCACUGAGAAGAUAGUGGCGAACGGGUGAGUAACACGUGGGUAACCUGCCCAUAAGAGGGGAUAACAUCCGGAAACGGGUGCUAAUACCGCAUAGUUUUCUUGAUCGCAUGAUUGAGAAAGGAAAGACGGCCUUUGUGCUGUCGCUUAUGGAUGGACCCGCGGCGUAUUAGUUAGUUGGUGAGGUAACGGCUCACCAAGACGAUGAUACGUAGCCGACCUGAGAGGGUGAUCGGCCACAUUGGGACUGAGACACGGCCCAAACUCCUACGGGAGGCAGCAGUAGGGAAUCUUCCGCAAUGGACGAAAGUCUGACGGAGCAACGCCGCGUGAGUGAAGAAGGUUUUUCCGGAUCGUAAAACUCUGUUGUCAGAGAAGAACAAGUUGGAGAGUAACUGCUCCAGCCUUGACGGUAUCUGACCAGAAAGCCACGGCUAACUACGUGCCAGCAGCAGC
Molecule: ribosomal RNA, 512 nt
Filed under: uncultured bacterium
Lineage: Bacteria
Description: bacterial SSU rRNA
Rfam family: Bacterial small subunit ribosomal RNA
Source: RNAcentral